UGGGGAAUUUUGGACAAUGGGCGAAAGCCUGAUCCAGCAAUGCCGUGUGUGUGAAGAAGGCCUUCGGGUUGUAAAGCACUUUUGUCCGGAAAGAAAUCCUUGGCUCUAAUACAGUCGGGGGAUGACGGUACCGGAAGAAUAAGCACCGGCUAACUACGUGCCAGCAGCCGCGGUAAUACGUAGGGUGCAAGCGUUAAUCGGAAUUACUGGGCGUAAAGCGUGCGCAGGCGGUUUGCUAAGACCGAUGUGAAAUCCCCGGGCUCAACCUGGGAACUGCAUUGGUGACUGGCAGGCUAGAGUAUGGCAGAGGGGGGUAGAAUUCCACGUGUAGCAGUGAAAUGCGUAGAGAUGUGGAGGAAUACCGAUGGCGAAGGCAGCCCCCUGGGCCAAUACUGACGCUCAUGCACGAAAGCGUGGGGAGCAAACAGGAUUAGAUACCCUGGUAGUCCACGCCCUAAAACGAUGUCAACUAGUUGUUGGGGAUUCAUUUCCUUAGUAACGUAGCUAACGCGUGAAGUUGACCGCCUGGGGAGUACGGUCGCAAGAUUAAAACUUAAAUGAAUUGACGGGGUCAUAGCUGUUUCCU
Molecule: ribosomal RNA, 586 nt
Filed under: uncultured bacterium
Lineage: Bacteria
Description: partial 16S ribosomal RNA
Rfam family: Bacterial small subunit ribosomal RNA
Source: RNAcentral